UGAGGGAUAUUGGGCAAUGGGCGCAAGCCUGACCCAGCGACGCCGCGUGGAGGACGACGGGCUUCGGCUCGUAAACUCCUUUUCCCGGGGACGAGACAAGGACGGUACCCGGGGAAUAAGCAUCGGCUAACUUCGUGCCAGCAGCCGCGGUAAUACGAAGGAUGCAAGCGUUAUCCGGAAUUAUUGGGUUUAAAGGGUGCGUAGGCGGACUAAUAAGUCAGUGGUGAAAGCCUGCAGCUUAACUGCAGAAUUGCCAUUGAUACUGUUAGUCUUGAGUACAGUUGAGGUAGGCGGAAUGUGCCAUGUAGCGGUGAAAUGCUUAGAUAUGACACAGAACACCGAUUGCGAAGGCAGCUUGCUAAGCUGUAACUGACGCUGAGGCACGAAAGCGUGGGGAGCAAACA
This 404-nucleotide ribosomal RNA is filed under the name uncultured bacterium. RNAcentral describes it as "bacterial SSU rRNA". It matches the Rfam family "Bacterial small subunit ribosomal RNA", at positions 355 to 774 of the family's 1533-position model. The record is from RNAcentral.